RNAcentral lists this transfer RNA (74 nucleotides) under Salamandra corsica (Corsican fire salamander). RNAcentral describes it as "tRNA-Leu". It matches the Rfam family "tRNA". From Rfam's summary of the family: Transfer RNA (tRNA) molecules are approximately 80 nucleotides in length. Their secondary structure includes four short double-helical elements and three loops (D, anti-codon, and T loops). Further hydrogen bonds mediate the characteristic L-shaped molecular structure. tRNAs have two regions of fundamental functional importance: the anti-codon, which is responsible for specific mRNA codon recognition, and the 3' end, to which the tRNAs corresponding amino acid is attached (by aminoacyl-tRNA synthetases). tRNAs cope with the degeneracy of the genetic code in two manners: having more than one tRNA (with a specific anti-codon) for a particular amino acid; and 'wobble' base-pairing, i.e. permitting non-standard base-pairing at the 3rd anti-codon position. The record is from RNAcentral. Lineage: Eukaryota; Metazoa; Chordata; Amphibia; Caudata; Salamandridae.
GUUAAGGUGGCAGAGUCUGGUAAUUGCAAAAGACCUAAGCUCUUUCUACCAGAGGUUCAAUCCCUCUUCUUAAC